AUUGAACGCUGGCGGCAGGCCUAACACAUGCAAGUCGGACGGUAGCACAGAGGAGCUUGCUCCUCGGGUGACGAGUGGCGGACGGGUGAGUAAUGUCUGGGGAUCUGCCCGAUAGAGGGGGAUAACCACUGGAAACGGUGGCUAAUACCGCAUAACGUCGCAAGACCAAAGAGGGGGACCUUCGGGCCUCUCACUAUCGGAUGAACCCAGAUGGGAUUAGCUAGUAGGCGGGGUAACGGCCCACCUAGGCGACGAUCCCUAGCUGGUCUGAGAGGAUGACCAGCCACACUGGAACUGAGACACGGUCCAGACGCCUACGGGAGGCAGCAGUGGGGAAUAUUGCACAAUGGGCGCAAGCCUGAUGCAGCCAUGCCGGGUGUAUGAAGAAGGCCUUCGGGUUGUAAAGUACUUUCAGCGGGGAGGAAGGCGAUAAGGUUAAUAACCUUGUCGAUUGACGUUACCCGCAGAAGAAGCACCGGCUAACUCCGUGCCAGCAGCCGCCGUAA
This 506-nucleotide ribosomal RNA is filed under the name uncultured bacterium. Its description in RNAcentral is "partial 16S ribosomal RNA". It matches the Rfam family "Bacterial small subunit ribosomal RNA", at positions 29 to 523 of the family's 1533-position model. The record is from RNAcentral.